Molecule: ribosomal RNA, 499 nt
Filed under: uncultured bacterium
Lineage: Bacteria
Description: partial 16S ribosomal RNA
Rfam family: Bacterial small subunit ribosomal RNA
Source: RNAcentral
GAUGAACGCUGGCGGUGUGCCUAAUACAUGCAAGUCGAGCGAACAGACGAGAGUGCUUGCACUCUCUGACGUUAGCGGCGGACGGGUGAGUAACACGUGGGUAACCUACCUAUAAGACUGGGAUAACUUCGGGAAACCGGAGCUAAUACCGGAUAUUAUUUAGCUUCGCAUGAAGCAAUAGUGAAAGACGGUUCUGCUGUCACUUAUAGAUGGACCCGCGGUGUAUUAGCUAGUUGGUGAGGUAACGGCUCACCAAGGCAACGAUACAUAGCCGACCUGAGAGGGUGAUCGGCCACACUGGGACUGAGACACGGCCCAGACUCCUACGGGAGGCAGCAGUAGGGAAUCUUCCGCAAUGGACGAAAGUCUGACGGAGCAAUGCCGCGUGAGUGAAGAAGGUUUUCGGAUCGUAAAACUCUGUUGUAAGGGAAGAACAAGUACGUUAGUAACUGAACGUACCUUGACGGUACCUUACCAGAAAGCCACGGCUAACUACGUG